CUGCCCAAGAGACUGGGAUAACACCUGGAAACAGAUGCUAAUACCGGAUAACAACACUAGACGCAUGUCUAGAGUUUGAAAGAUGGUUCUGCUAUCACUCUUGGAUGGACCUGCGGUGCAUUAGCUAGUUGGUAAGGUAACGGCUUACCAAGGCAAUGAUGCAUAGCCGAGUUGAGAGACUGAUCGGCCACAUUGGGACUGAGACACGGCCCAAACUCCUACGGGAGGCAGCAGUAGGGAAUCUUCCACAAUGGACGAAAGUCUGAUGGAGCAACGCCGCGUGAGUGAAGAAGGGUUUCGGCUCGUAAAGCUCUGUUGGUAGUGAAGAAAGAUAGAGGUAGUAACUGGCCUUUAUUUGACGGUAAUUACUUAGAAAGUCACGGCUAACUACGUGCCAGCAGCCGCGGUAAUACGUAGGUGGCAAGCGUUGUCCGGAUUUAUUGGGCGUAAAGCGAGUGCAGGCGGUUCAAUAAGUCUGAUGUGAAAGCCUUCGGCUCAACCGGAGAAUUGCAUCAGAAACUGUUGAACUUGAGUGCAGAAGAGGAGAGUGGAACUCCAUGUGUAGCGGUGGAAUGCGUAGAUAUAUGGAAGAACACCAGUGGCGAAGGCGGCUCUCUGGUCUGCAACUGACGCUGAGGCUCGAAAGCAUGGGUAGCGAACAGGAUUAGAUACCCUGGUAGUCCAUGCCGUAAAC
RNAcentral lists this ribosomal RNA (694 nucleotides) under uncultured bacterium. RNAcentral's name for it is "bacterial SSU rRNA". It matches the Rfam family "Bacterial small subunit ribosomal RNA", at positions 126 to 807 of the family's 1533-position model. The record is from RNAcentral.